Molecule: ribosomal RNA, 468 nt
Filed under: uncultured bacterium
Lineage: Bacteria
Description: partial 16S ribosomal RNA
Rfam family: Bacterial small subunit ribosomal RNA
Source: RNAcentral
GACGAACGCUGGCGGCGUGCUUAACACAUGCAAGUCGAACGGAAAGGCCCUGCUUUUGCGGGGUGCUCGAGUGGCGAACGGGUGAGUAACACGUGAGUAACCUGCCCUUGUCUUUGGGAUAACUUCAGGAAAAUGGGGCUAAUAUCGGAUAGGAGCUCCUGCUGCAUGGGGGGGGUUGGAAAGUUUCGGCGGUUGGGGAUGGACUCGCGGCUUAUCAGCUUGUUGGUGGGGUAGUGGCUUACCAAGGCUUUGACGGGUAGCCGGCCUGAGAGGGUGACCGGCCACAUUGGGACUGAGAUACGGCCCAGACUCCUACGGGAGGCAGCAGUGGGGAAUAUUGCACAAUGGGCGGAAGCCUGAUGCAGCAACGCCGCGUGCGGGAUGACGGCCUUCGGGUUGUAAACCGCUUUCGCCUGUGACGAAGCGUGAGUGACGGUAAUGGGUAAAGAAGCACCGGCUAACUACGUG